Molecule: ribosomal RNA, 468 nt
Filed under: uncultured bacterium
Lineage: Bacteria
Description: partial 16S ribosomal RNA
Rfam family: Bacterial small subunit ribosomal RNA
Source: RNAcentral
GACGAACGCUGGCGGCGUGCUUAACACAUGCAAGUCGAACGGAAAGGCCCUGCUUUUGUGCGGUGCUCGAGUGGCGAGCGGGUGCGUAACACGUGAGUAACCUGCCCUUGACUUUGGGAUAACUUCACGUAACUAGAGCUACUAUCGUAUAGGAUCUCCUGCUGCAGUGAGGGGGUUGGAACGUUUCGGCGGUUGGGGCUGGACGAGCGGCUUAUGAGCUUGUUAGUUGGGUAGUCGCUUACCCAGGCUUUGACGGGUAGCCGGCCUGAGAGGGUGGCCGGCCACAUUGGGACUGAGAUAGGGCGCAGACUCCAAUGGGAGGCAGCAGUCGCGAAUAUUGCACAAUGGGCGGAAGCCUGUUGCAGAAACGCCGCGUGCGGGAUGACGGCCUUCGGGUUGUAAACCGCUGUAGCCUGUGACGAAGCGUGAGUGACGGUAAUCAGUAAAGAAGCACCGGCUAACUACGUG